GAUGAACGCUGGCGGCGUGCUUAACACAUGCAAGUCGAACGAAACACCUUAUUUGAUUUUCUUCGGAACUGAAGAUUUGGUGAUUGAGUGGCGGACGGGUGAGUAACGCGUGGGUAACCUGCCCUGUACAGGGGGAUAACAGUCAGAAAUGACUGCUAAUACCGCAUAAGACCACAGCACCGCAUGGUGCAGGGGUAAAAACUCCGGUGGUACAGGAUGGACCCGCGUCUGAUUAGCUGGUUGGUGAGGUAACGGCUCACCAAGGCGACGAUCAGUAGCCGGGUUGAGAGAGUGAACGGCCACAUUGGGACUGAGACACAGCCCAAACUCCUACGGGAGGCAGCAGUGGGGAAUAUUGCACAAUGGGGGAAAACCUGAUGCAGCGACGCCGCGUGAGUGAAGAAGUAUUUCGGUAUGUAAAGCUCUAUCAGAAGGGAAGAAAAUGACGGUACCUGACAAAGAAGCCCCGGCUAACUACGUG
This 481-nucleotide ribosomal RNA is filed under the name uncultured bacterium. RNAcentral describes it as "partial 16S ribosomal RNA". It matches the Rfam family "Bacterial small subunit ribosomal RNA", at positions 28 to 507 of the family's 1533-position model. The record is from RNAcentral.